GACGAACGCUGGCGGCGUGCUUAACACAUGCAAGUCGAGCGAUGAAGUUUCUUCGGAAAUGGAUUAGCGGCGAACGGGUGAGGAACACGUGAAGAAUCUGCCCUCCACUUUGGGAUAACACAGGGAAACCUGUGCUAAUACCGAAUAUUGAAACAUAAGUGGCAUCACUGAGUUUUGAAAGAAUUUCGGUGGAGGAUGACUUCGCGGCCUAUCAGCUAGUUGGUGAGGUAAUGGCUAACCAAGGCAACGACGGGUAGCCGGCCUGGGAGGGCGACCGGCCACACUGGGAGUGAGACACGGCCCAGACUCCUACGGGAGGCAGCAGUGGGGAAUAUUGGGCAAUGGAGGAAACUCUGACCCAGCGACGCCGCGUGCGGGAUGAAGGCCUUCGGGUUGUAAACCGCUUUCAGUAGGGAAGAAGCGAAAGUGACGGUACCUACAAAAGAAGCACCGGCUAACUAUGUGCCAGCCGCCGCCGUAA
RNAcentral lists this ribosomal RNA (481 nucleotides) under uncultured bacterium. RNAcentral's name for it is "partial 16S ribosomal RNA". It matches the Rfam family "Bacterial small subunit ribosomal RNA", at positions 28 to 523 of the family's 1533-position model. The record is from RNAcentral.